CUCAACGACCGUACCGCAAACCGACACAGGUGCGCGAGAUGAGUAUUCUAAGGCGCUUGAGAGAACUCAGGAGAAGGAACUCGGCAAAUUGACACCGUAACUUCGGAAGAAGGUGUGCCCUAUUAGUGUGAAGUGAACAACGGAGCAUGAAUGGGUUGCAAAAAAUCGGUGGCUGCGACUGUUUAUUAAAAACACAGCACUCUGCAAACACGAAAGUGGACGUAUAGGGUGUGACGCCUGCCCGGUGCUGGAAGAUUAAAUGAUGGGGUGCAAGCUCUUGAUUGAAGUCCCAGUAAACGGCGGCCGUAACUAUAACGGUCCUAAGGUAGCGAAAUUCCUUGUCGGGUAAGUUCCGACCUGCACGAAUGGCGUAACGAUGGCCACACUGUCUCCUCCUGAGACUCAGCGAAGUUGAAAUGUUUGUGAUGAUGCAAUCUCCCCGCGGAAAGACGGAAAGACCCCAUGAACCUUUACUGUAGCUUUGUAUUGGACUUUGAACAGAUCUGUGUAGGAUAGGUGGGAGGCUUUGAAGCAGGGUCGCUAGAUCUUGUGGAGCCAACGUUGAAAUACCACCCUGGUGUGUUUGAGGUUCUAACCUAGGUCCAUUAUCUGGAUCGGGGACAGUGCAUGGUAGGCAGUUUGACUGGGGCGGUCUCCUCCCAAAGCGUAACGGAGGAGUUCGAAGGUACGCUAGUUACGGUCGGACAUCGUGACGAUAGUGCAAUGGCAUAAGCGUGCUUAACUGCGAGACUGACAAGUCGAGCAGAUGCGAAAGCAGGACAUAGUGAUCCGGUGGUUCUGUAUGGAAGGGCCAUCGCUCAACGGAUAAAAGGUACUCUGGGGAUAACAGGCUGAUACCGCCCAAGAGUUCAUAUCGACGGCGGUGUUUGGCACCUCGAUGUCGGCUCAUCUCAUCCUGGGGCUGUAGCCGGUCCCAAGGGUAUGGCUGUUCGCCAUUUAAAGAGGUACGUGAGCUGGGUUUAAAACGUCGUGAGACAGUUUGGUCCCUAUCUUCCGUGGGCGCUGCAGAUUUGAGGAAGCCUGCUCCUAGUACGAGAGGACCGGAGUGGACACACCUCUGGUGUAUCGGUUGUCACGCCAGUGGCAUUGCCGAGUAGCUAAGUGUGGAAGAGAUAACCGCUGAAAGCAUCUAAGCGGGAAACUCGUUUCAAGAUGAGAUCUGCCGGGGCCUUGAGCCCCCUGAAGAGUCGUUCAAGACCAGGACGUUGAUAGGUCAGGUGUGGAAGCGAA
RNAcentral lists this ribosomal RNA (1251 nucleotides) under metagenome. RNAcentral's name for it is "bacterial LSU rRNA". It matches the Rfam family "Bacterial large subunit ribosomal RNA", at positions 1634 to 2877 of the family's 2925-position model. The record is from RNAcentral.